UUUCCGGCAACCUAUUGUUAGUUCAAGGGGGUUAAAUGUAACAAUUUAUUAGUUUAAGGAGGUUUUAUGUAGUUCAAGGGGUUAGUUGCAAAACCCAAUACUUCAAGGGAGUUUUUUACACUUUUCCCUUAUUAUUAUUAUUAUUAUUAUUAUGGAGUUUUAUUUUUAUUUUUUUCCAAAUCAUUGGCAGGCAAGUCAAGAUAUGAGCUAUAUGCAUUUUUUUUAUUUUUUUUAUUUAUCAUUGAUAAGAAACUCACACACUUAUUUAUUCCUACGGAUGGAAUAUGAAUGGAAUAUUAACAUUGAAUAUGAAUGGAAGCCCCAAGUAUGACUAAGAGAACACUAAUUUUAUGGGAAAAUGUGGCCUAGGGGUUAGAGAGUUCAAGUCUGCUUUGGGACAAAAAUGGGCACGUGAUAGGUAAAAAAAAAAAAAUUUAAAGUAUAACGUAUAACACAGUUUUUGUACAUAAUAUAGCCAGAUUUAGAGAGUGAAAAUAGUUCUGAUUUUUUUUUUUUUUGUAAUUUUUUUUUUUUGGUUUUUUGUGUGGUUUAUUUUAAUGGAAAGCAAACGCAUGAAGCUAGUAAAUAAGCAAGGGAGCAAAGAGAAGGUUCACAAAUUCCUUCUUUAUAUCAAACAAGAGAAUGGGAAAAGAAAGCGAUUGGAUAUUCUAGGGUUUACAUGAGGAACACGAAACCACCAUUGAAGAGGGUCAAAUCUCCUCCCAUCUGCCAUAGUGUGAUUCAAAUCUCAAAAUGAAAUCGAAAAGGUAUUACAGAAUGUUAACACUGGAGGGAUAUUUUGACUAUUUUGAGUUCUGUGCCUAUUCGGUUGAAUAUUUUUGGACUCCUAAUUCACUAUUAUAUUAAUUCAUCAUUUUCGAAACCUCUUUUUCUUGAUGUAUUGUCUCUCUCGAGCAAGAUGGACCCAGAAAAAUAUGUGAGAGGGAGCAAUCUUGUAACAUUCUGAAUUUUUUUACUUGGUUUAAUUUAGUUCUUUAUUUAUUAUUAUGAACUUAUUAAUAUUUAUUUAAACUUAAAUAUUUAUAUUUAAUUGAGUUGAGAAAACAAAAAUAAAAAAUUUCAUUUUUAUAAACAAUUAAUUUCUAGCAUUAGAAUUGUUUACACAUGCAUGGUACGUGGUACUUAGAAGUAUUUGCACAUGUUUGUUAUAUAUUCAUGUGUAUGGUAUCAAUUAGAGCUUUAAAGUUGGUGGGCUGGCUGUGAUGAAUUUCAAGUUAGGUGGAUAACUAUUGAAACUAAUAGUUGCCAGCACCAUGUGUGUGUUUGUAUACAUAUAUAUUAUAUAUAUCAUGCGACUUGUAUAGAUAUGUAUUUAUAUAGAAGCAUGUUGGUAAGCUUUGGAUGACUUAUUUAAGGAAUAAAUUAAGAAAGAGGGUAUUAGUGGGCUUGGACACAUGUCACACACCUAAUAAAAGUUUCAUAUAUACAUUAUUUUACCUCUUGCGCUUUGGGAGUUCUAUGGACCAGCACUUUAAAACCAAAGUUGUGUAGAAAAGGAAAAGAAAAAGAAAAGAAACAGUGGGACUAGAAAAGCCGGACCAGAUAAGAGAACACGGAAAGUGAAAGAGAGUGAGAAAAGAAGAGAGAGAACCAGAAAAUCGGUGUUCUGCAGAGAAGGAGGAAAAGUAGAAAUAGUGGAAGGAAGAGGAGACAAAUAAGGAAAGGUAGAGAAAUUUGUGUUUGCAGUCGUAAAUGUAGAAAAUUUUGUAGUUUUAAUUUUAUAUUGAAAGUUUAUCUUAUCUCAUUGUUCAAUGAAUUAUUAUUGAGGUACUCUUGAACAAAAUCCAUUCCUUUCAUUAUUUCUUUCUUAAUUAAGUUGUUAAAUUAUAUGAAGCAAUACAUUUCUUACUUGUUUGUAAUUACUGCACUGAAAUUUAAUUUAUGUGGUUGUAAUUAGAAUUUCAAUUACAAUUACGUACCAAGGUUGAGAUUUAUAUUUAAAUUGAUGAUUAAUUGUUAAUUAUAAUGUUGUAUAUGCAAGGAGAAUGAAUUGACAACUUCCACAUUACCAAGGGAUAAGUAAAUAAUUCGGCAAGUAGUCAAGAUGAGUGUACUCACUGGAAGUUUAUAUUUGAAUGUGUUAAUUGAAGUAUCGAAGAUAUUUAUUUGAUGUGGAAAUGUUUAUAUAUAUUAUAUAAGGUCUAUACUCUCUGGCUUGGAAAGAGAGUAAUAUAUUAUAUAAUGUUUAUACUCUGGCUGGAGGAGAGUAAUAUAUUACAUAAGGUCCAUACUGUGGCCUGGAAGGAGAGUAAUAUUUUAUAUAAGGUCCAUACUCUAGUUUAAAAGGAGAGUACUAUAUCAUAUAAGGUUCAUAUUUUGGCCUAAAAUGAGAGUACUAUAUUUUAAUGCAUGUAAAGUUGGAAGUUAUAUAUUAAUGAAGUUUAAUUGAAGUUAUCAGAAAAUAUUUGUUUAUAUUACUCUGAUGUAGUAGUGUUGCAUUCACUGGGCUUUAAGUUCACUCCUUCCAUAUCUAUAUUUUUCAGUUAUAUGAUUUGGUUGCUACUGCUAAGCCUAGAGUCUUGGGGUAUUGAAUGGGGAAAGGAGCAACAGAAAGUCAUUUGUAUAAUAUGUAAUUAUUGUAAAAGAAUUUGUUAAUAGAACUUGUAAUUUAUGGUUCAGUUGUGUCAGAUUUGUGUAAUAGGCUAGUGAUUUGCUUUGUUUGUAUUUUGUUUAAACUACUAAACAGGCACUCUGACGUGUGAUGACGUCACGUAGCUAUGAUGUUAAUGAAGAUGGUUAGAUGCAUUCUAAUUGUUCAAUUUAUUAAAUAGUGUAAAUUAGGUUGGGGUGCAUCAGUUUUUUGUAUCAGAGCCUAGGUUUUCUAGGUUUUGGAGGUAGUAAAAGUCUAGACUGACAGUGGUAGUAGGAAGUGUGUAGUAGAGUCAUUUAUUUGACUUGAGUUGAUACUAACAAAUAAGUAAAGCGGAUAUGUAUUAAACAUAUAUAUGUUGUUAUAUUUGAGAUUCAUUGUAGAUAAUAAGUUAUGGAAGGAGGAAGUGGUUAUCAUGGAACCGAGGAAAAAACCUUUUAUAUUCCUGUUGAGGCUGAAGUGGAACAAUCUAUUCAGGGUGGUAUGGGAAGAGAAUAGGAGCAGUUAACUAACAUGCAGAAAAUGGAUAGAGCUAUAACAAGAUUGGCAAAACAAAAUGAAAGGUUUAUUGCAAGUCAAAUCAUGGUACAAGAAAGGCAGGAGAGAUAACAGGAAUGAAAGAAAAGCUCUGAUCAUGAAAGGUUUAUAAAGCUAACACCUUUAGAAUUUGAAGGGACUACGAAACUAGAAGAAGCAUAGGGGUGCGUAAGAAGGAUGGAAUCAAUAUUUGCAGUAAUGGGUGCAGUUAAAGAUCAAAAAGUAAACUAAGCUACAUAUAUGUUAAAAAAAUGAAGCUAGUUAUUGGUGGGAAACAACAGAACAAUUAUUGCUUACUCUAGGGGAAAGAGAGGUGAUAUUCUGGAAUCCAUUUGUUAAAUCUUUUUAUGAAAAGUAUUUCCCUCCAGUUUACAGAAAACAGAAGGAGUGGGUGUUUAUUCCUCUAAAACAAGAUAGAAUGUCUGUCGCCGAUUAUGAAGCAAAGUUUAUAGCUUUGUCGAGGUUUGCACCUAAAUUUGUACAGGAUGAAGAAGAUAAAUGUAUGAGGCUCCAAGAUGGGUUAGAAGCGACUAUUAAAUCCAGAGUUUCAGUUUUUGAGGAGACAAAUUACAAUAGACUUGUAAACAAAGCCGUGAUUGCUGAAAGAGAUGUGAAAGAAUUGCAAGAAAGAAGGGAACGAUAUAAAAGAAAUAGAUCUGAGCCAACACAGUUAAGGAGAGGUGAAGCAGGAUCUUCGAGUCAGAAAGGUCAAUAGUCACAGUAUGGAUGGUGACGGGGUAGUGAGUUUCAGGGGCAAACAUCAGGCAUUGGAAGAGGUCAAGGGUUUUCUUAACAACAAUCUGUACAAUAAGGUAGCUUUGGGGGAUGUGGUACUAGUAGGGGGUGUUUUCACUGUGGAAGGGAAGGUCAUCAGAAAAAAUAUUGUUUAGUAUUGAAGGUAAAAGAGUGUUAUCAUUGCCAUUAACUGGGUCAUCGAAAAAGAGAGUGCCUAUGUUGACAGGAGUGACCUCAGUGGGUAGUGUUGUUGGUUCUGGUAGAGGUUUUGCACAGGGGAGCUCAUCAAGAGGAGGUAGGGGUGCUCCAAGUAGUUCACAAGCUCGGGGAAGAGUGUUUGCUAUGACACUUCAGGAUGCUCAAGCAACACCGGAAGUUGUGACAGGGUUUGGUUGCCACUGCCAAGUCUAGAGUCUUGGGGUAUUGAAUUGGGAAAGAAGCAACAUACAGUCUUUUGUAUAAUACGUAAUUAUUGUAGAAGAAUUUGGUAGUAGAACUUGUAAUUUAUGGUUCAGUUGUGUCAGAUUUGUGUAAUUGGCUUGUGAUUUGCUUUGUUUGUAUUUUGUUUAAACUACUAAACAGGCACACUGACGUGUGAUGACAUCACGUAGCUAUGAUGUUAAUGAAGAUGGUUAGAUGCAUUCCAAUUGUUCAAUUUAUUAAAUAGUGUAAAUUGGGCUGGGUGCGUCAAAUCUUUAAGAAAAAAUUGUUGACGGGGCAAUAGUAUAGUUUUUCUUUAAUUUUAGUGGGGGCAAACUCAAUUUUUUUUAAGUAUAUAAUUCAAAAAAAGCAAAAUUAGUGGGGUGUGAUAGCAAAAAGAAAAAAUUUGAGUCGGGGCAAUUGCCCCCAAGCCCAUCACAGGUCCGUCCCUGCUUGGGGCAAUUUUUGAGAGUGAUGGUAGAGGUAGAUGUACGUGAAAAUCAAGUGAUCAGUGUUGAUGGAAAAGGAAUGUAAUAUUAACAUUGAAUGACUGG
Molecule: long non-coding RNA, 4857 nt
Organism: Cornus florida
Lineage: Eukaryota; Viridiplantae; Streptophyta; Magnoliopsida; Cornales; Cornaceae
Exons: 3
Source: RefSeq, a predicted model, not a curated record